This 201-nucleotide ribosomal RNA is filed under the name uncultured bacterium. RNAcentral's name for it is "partial 16S ribosomal RNA". It matches the Rfam family "Bacterial small subunit ribosomal RNA", at positions 1301 to 1500 of the family's 1533-position model. The record is from RNAcentral.
CAGGCUGCAACUCGCCUGUAUGAAGUCGGAAUUGCUAGUAAUCGUGGAUCAGCAUGCCACGGUGAAUACGUUCCCGGGCCUUGUACACACCGCCCGUCACACCAUGAGAGCCGGGAACACCCGAAGUCCGUAGUCUAACCUAUAUGGAGGACGCGGCCGAAGGUGGGUUUGGUAAUUGGGGUGAAGUCGUAACAAGGUACC